AUUGAACGCUGGCGGCAUGCUUUACACAUGCAAGUCGAACGGUAACAGGCCGCAAGGUGCUGACGAGUGGCGAACGGGUGAGUAAUGCAUCGGAACGUGCCCAGUCGUGGGGGAUAACUACUCGAAAGAGUAGCUAAUACCGCAUACGAUCUAUGGAUGAAAGCGGGGGACCGUAAGGCCUCGCGCGAUUGGAGCGGCCGAUGUCAGAUUAGGUAGUUGGUGGGGUAACGGCUCACCAAGCCAACGAUCUGUAGCUGGUCUGAGAGGACGACCAGCCACACUGGGACUGAGACACGGCCCAGACUCCUACGGGAGGCAGCAGUGGGGAAUUUUGGACAAUGGGCGCAAGCCUGAUCCAGCAAUGCCGCGUGCAGGAAGAAGGCCUUCGGGUUGUAAACUGCUUUUGUACGGAACGAAACGGCUCUGGUUAAUACCCGGGGCUAAUGACGGUACCGUAAGAAUAAGCACCGGCUAACUACGUG
Molecule: ribosomal RNA, 482 nt
Filed under: uncultured bacterium
Lineage: Bacteria
Description: partial 16S ribosomal RNA
Rfam family: Bacterial small subunit ribosomal RNA
Source: RNAcentral